GGGCUUCGACCGGCGUACGGGUGCGUAACGCGUAUACAAUCUGCCUUUCACAUAGGGAUAGCCCGAAGAAAUUUGGAUUAAUACCUAAGUGGUAUAUAGAAUGUGGCAUCACGCUUUAUAUUAAAGCCUGAGGGCGGUGAAAGAUGAGUAUGCGUUCUAUUAGCUAGUUGGAGAGGUAACGGCUCCCCAAGGCGACGAUAGAUAGGGGUUCUGAGAGGGAUACCCCCCACACUGGUACUGGGAUACGGACCAGACUCCUACGGGAGGCAGCAGUGAGGAAUAUUGGACAAUGGUCGGAAGACUGAUCCAGCCAUGCCGCGUGCAGGAAGACGGCCUUAUGGGUUGUAAACUGCUUUUGCAGGGGAAGAAUAAGGAGUACGUGUACUUUGAUGACGGUACUCUGCGAAUAAGCAUCGGCUAACUCCGUGCCAGCAGCCGCGGUAAUACGGAGGAUGCGAGCGUUAUCCGGAAUCAUUGGGUUUAAAGGGUCCGUAGGCGGGCUAAUAAGUCAGAGGUGAAAGCGCUCAGCUCAACUGAGCAACUGCCUUUGAAACUGUUAGUCUUGAAUGGUUGUGAAGUAGUUGGAAUGUGUAGUGUAGCGGUGAAAUGCUUAGAUAUUACACAGAACACCGAUAGCGAAGGCAUAUUACUAACAAUUAAUUGACGCUGAUGGACGAAAGCGUGGGGAGCGAACAGGAUUAGAUACCCUGGUAGUCCACGCUGUAAACGAUGGAUACUAGCUGUUUGGUUGCAAGACUGAGUGGCUA
Molecule: ribosomal RNA, 767 nt
Filed under: uncultured Cytophaga sp.
Lineage: Bacteria; Pseudomonadati; Bacteroidota; Cytophagia; Cytophagales; Cytophagaceae
Description: bacterial SSU rRNA
Rfam family: Bacterial small subunit ribosomal RNA
Source: RNAcentral